ACCCAUUUGAAGAGUCCCAAAUAGAACGAAACGCGCGUCCUGGUU
This 45-nucleotide non-coding RNA is filed under the name Schistosoma haematobium. Lineage: Eukaryota; Metazoa; Platyhelminthes; Trematoda; Strigeidida; Schistosomatidae. The record is from RNAcentral.